RNAcentral lists this long non-coding RNA (459 nucleotides) under Arabidopsis thaliana (thale cress). RNAcentral's name for it is "long non-coding RNA (ATHA_LNC000402)". Lineage: Eukaryota; Viridiplantae; Streptophyta; Magnoliopsida; Brassicales; Brassicaceae. The record is from RNAcentral.
GAAGGAGGAGCUGAUGGGAAACUUAAAAAAAUCUACACGCAGUGACGAGUUAAGCCGUUCUGGUCCCCCUCAAAUUCCAAAUCCUGACUGGUAAAUUUCGUUUCAUCAAUACCUUCUGCUUAAUAUUAAUAAUAUUGAUUAUGAAAUAUUAUUAACUAAUGUAAAAAAACGCAACUAUAUAAUACGUAACUGUUUUCGGAAACAAAAGAGUUUACGUCAUCAAACAGAAAAUCUUUACCUCAAUUUUUCUUUUGGCCCCGAUGUUUUUUAUACUAGCCAUUUCCUAGGAACGACAUUUCCACUAUUGCGUACUGUUUUGUUUUUCUUUUGACUUCAACGUAUAUUUGCAUGUGCCAAUAGAAUUUAUAUAUAAAUAACAUUUCAUAUGAUACAAAAAAAAAGAAGAUAAUAUCUACUCGAUCGUUUCUAUGGUCUAAAUUGGUUUGUUUAUAAUAGGAA